UCCCGGAAUGGUGAGCGAGCGUCGCGGAA
This 29-nucleotide small RNA is filed under the name Bombyx mori (domestic silkworm). RNAcentral describes it as "ovarian small RNA-27309". Lineage: Eukaryota; Metazoa; Arthropoda; Insecta; Lepidoptera; Bombycidae. The record is from RNAcentral.